This 320-nucleotide ribosomal RNA is filed under the name uncultured eukaryote. RNAcentral's name for it is "partial 18S ribosomal RNA". It matches the Rfam family "Eukaryotic small subunit ribosomal RNA", at positions 1470 to 1796 of the family's 1831-position model. The record is from RNAcentral.
CCCCUAGAUGUUCUGGGCCGCACGCGCGCUACACUGAAUAGUUCAACAAGUCUUAACCUUGGCCGAUAGGUCUGGGUAAUCUUUGAACGCUGUUCGUGAUUGGGAUAGACCUUUGCAAUUAUGGGUCUUCAACGAGGAAUUCCUAGUAAACGCAAGUCAUCAGCUUGCAUUGAUUACGUCCCUGCCCUUUGUACACACCGCCCGUCGCACCUACCGAUUGAAUGGUCCGGUGAAAUCUCGGGACGGCGGCUUGGUCGCUUGCGUCCGACUGCUGAAACUUGAUUAAACCAUAUCAUUUAGAGGAAGGUGAANUCGUANCA